Molecule: long non-coding RNA, 1943 nt
Organism: Astyanax mexicanus (Mexican tetra)
Lineage: Eukaryota; Metazoa; Chordata; Actinopteri; Characiformes; Acestrorhamphidae
Exons: 2
Source: RefSeq, a predicted model, not a curated record
UAGGCCAUGAGUUGUUGUGUUAAGCUGUGGGGCUAAGUCCAGCAUGGCUAACAGUUAAAUGCACACUAGGUAGGAUUUCUUUGAUUAUUGAACUUUUUAAAGAAGUAAAAUUACAGCUUGAAACUCACGGCAGCGCUGCAUUGAAGUGUAAUAGGAGGAAUAGCGGUCCUUUCGUGUCUGUGCCGGAGCUCCUCUGAGCUCAAACCAGGAGAACCCGGAGAAGCUCCGGCUGCAUUGUAAACUCAAUGAAGGCAGUCUGAGACACUUGGGAUGCUUGGUGUGGGAGAAGAGGACUGGUCUACUGUCCGACUCUGGACUCUAUGUAGAAGACUGCUUAUUCCAGCUUUAAAAUAGAAGAAGGUCAAAAACAUCAUGUUGCAUCACCAGGGAAAUUUGUAGAGGUUGGACCAGGCCAAGAGGUGAACAUUCUCUCCAUUCCUAAAGUGUUGCUAUACAAAUCUUCUGGGAUUAGAAAUGUUUGUGGCCACGCCUCCAAAAUCUGUCAGCUUUUCAUUUUACGGCAUCUUGACAAAGUUCCUUAAACAGAACCUGUGGUUCAAACCCAGGGCAGUGCUGGAGGAGAGGUGAAGUUUAUGGUGUUAAAAAGCAAAAACACAGAGUGAGCCCAUGUUAAUCCUCUCAGUCGGAAGUGGGCGGGGCUACACGGUUGGGAUGGUGAUGGUGAGGAUUAGCGCUGCCCGUGGUCUGAGCUGUCCAUCACUCGUGGGCUGUUGUUCGUAGUCCGUGUCGUGUGUCGGGUAUGACCCGAGGCGAGUGCCAGCGGAUAGGAAAGCACUCUUUCGGUUUUGUUUGGAAAACAAAUAAAAGGUGAUGAAGGAAUAAUCAUAAUUACUGUACACUGACGAGCUGUCAGCACCUCCCUCUCUUUUUCCACUUUACAGCACGAUAAUCAGCCCGUCCCGUCCCAGUCUCCUCCCCCUCACCCACCAACUGGAUCUGUUCACUGCACUCAUCGGUCUGAAGCUGAAUUUUCACUCUUGCUUUAAAUAGAUGCACCAUUUUUAUUCUGUGAACGAGAUUUGCUCUAAAUCAAACAUGUUCCAUAUAAAAUUUGAUUUGUUAUCCAUGAUAUAUGUUUUAAACGUUGAAACAACACCCUUUUUAAAAGGAUGUUAAAAAUGUUAGGUAACUGUCAUUUUUAACUGUUUGUGUAACUGUCUGUUGAGCUUUUUUAUUUAUUUUAUUUUCUCAUUAUUGCAAUGACUUUAUUACUGCUUUACUUCACCUGUCAGACCACUAGUUUAACUAUUCACAGCUAAAACUGAGACUUAGUUCAGUCUCAAGCUGAGCUAAAGGCACAUGUAGCCAUGUGGAUCAGCCAGACAUCUUUCUGUACUAGUUUUCACUGCUCACUGCUCUUUGGCCUUAUUGGUAAUUAUUGGUAAUUUAUAGGACUUAUACUUUAUUAGUUACAGAGUGAUCUGUGUUUCUGUGUUUUUUCUAGAUAUUUUGAUGAAAGCGUGAAUGGGCUGUUUUUAAGUGUGUAAAUGCUGCAGUAGAGAGUGCAAUAACACCCUCUGUUUCAGCAAUGAUUUACUGCUGACAAGGGCUUUGGAAAUUGAUUUUUUUAAUUAAUUUCCAAAUCUCAGUUUAUUUUCAUGACUACUCACUAGCUUGUUUUAAAUUUUUUUUACAAUAUACUAUUUUGCCCUCUCAAGGACAGACUGUGAGUUUGCAGUGAUGUCACAGCCAUACAUAAGUGGGACCCCAAGAGGAGGACAUUUGGACUGUGCAGUGUGCAAGGAAAAUAUUAUUUACCAGGAAAAUUCAUUUUUAUUUUGCUAUCCAAGCCAAAGUUUUAGAUUGUAAAAGGCAGAUAAUUGUUGGGAUUCUUUUUUAUCCACAUCCAUCAAAAAUAUCAGUGAUUUUAAAACAUGUUUAUGAAUUUUAUGUCCCGUGGAAGAUAAAAAAUGCUGCAUUGA